RNAcentral lists this unclassified non-coding RNA (223 nucleotides) under Melitaea cinxia (Glanville fritillary). RNAcentral describes it as "misc RNA ENSMCXG00005008551.1". Lineage: Eukaryota; Metazoa; Arthropoda; Insecta; Lepidoptera; Nymphalidae. The record is from RNAcentral.
UGACGAUAUAAAUCGCGAGCGUAACGAAAGACUCGAGGUUUACUCCCGAGCGUAGCGAGGGAUUUAAGUUCACCCAAGACUAAGACAGCUUUAUCACCGAGGAAAAUACUCUACUUUUCGUACCAUUUGCGAAAAAACUAACACAAUAAUAAUAUGAGAUAAGCAUUUAUUAAAAAUAAUGACAAUUAAAACUCAUACGGCCUCGUCGGUUUUCGUAAUUUUA